RNAcentral lists this ribosomal RNA (444 nucleotides) under uncultured bacterium. Its description in RNAcentral is "partial 16S ribosomal RNA". It matches the Rfam family "Bacterial small subunit ribosomal RNA", at positions 339 to 795 of the family's 1533-position model. The record is from RNAcentral.
CUACGGGUGGCAGCAGUGGGGAAUAUUGCACAAUGGGCGGAAGCCUGAUGCAGCGACGCCGCGUGAGGGAUGAAGGCCUUCGGGUUGUAAACCUCUUUCAGCAGGGACGAAGCGUGAGUGACGGUACCUGCAGAAGAAGCACCGGCUAACUACGUGCCAGCAGCCGCGGUAUUACGCAGGGUGCGGGCGUUGUCCGGAAUUACUGGGCGUAAAGAGUUCGUAGGCGGUUUGUCGCGUCGUUUGUGAAAACCCGGGGCUCAACUUCGGGCUUGCAGGCGAUACGGGCAGACUUGAGUGUUUCAGGGGAGACUGGAAUUCCUGGUGUAGCGGUGAAAUGCGCAGAUAUCAGGAGGAACACCGGUGGCGAAGGCGGGUCUCUGGGAAACAACUGACGCUGAGGAACGAAAGCGUGGGUAGCAAACAGGAUUAGAUACCCCUGUAGUC